This 3355-nucleotide long non-coding RNA is filed under the name Triticum aestivum (bread wheat). Its description in RNAcentral is "long non-coding RNA (TAES_LNC022775)". The record is from RNAcentral. Lineage: Eukaryota; Viridiplantae; Streptophyta; Magnoliopsida; Poales; Poaceae.
GUAAAAUGAGAUGCCAGGUAUUGAGGGCUAGAUUGUACAUGGCAAAGAUUAAUUUGUUAUGGUGAAGCCAAAGCUUUAGUGUUUGAGUCAUUGGGUGUCAUCUUUGUUAACUUAUUAUUAAGCAUAUCAACUAUGUAUUUUGUCCCACAUAAAUGAGAAAAACUCUGCUUUUUUGACAUCAUGACUCAUUGUCAUGUCUAAAUAUUUGAAUUUCAUAUUGAUGUUUUGAUCGUGGAUGCCAAAACAUCACAGUUUGCCUGAUAGAGUUAAUUCCAUUAUAAAAUGAAGCUCCUUCCAUCAAUUAGAUAGCUUUUAUUAAUUUGAUUUUUCUAUUUUGAAUAUACAUAUUGGUUAUUUGGAUGCUUUCGUUUGAAAAUUUGCAUAGAUCAAUGAGGAUUCAGGCGGCGGGGAGGGGACUGGUGAUAGGAAACAUGGGUCCAAGAAGAAAUCAAAGAGCAUGGUGACUUGUUCUCCCUUUUCAAAUUUAAAACCUAGACUAGAAUCGGUCAAUUGUAAUUUGGCAAUAUGAUUAGGAUAGCAUAAUAUUCUGCUAAUAGCUUCACGAGGUAAUUAUGUCAUCUAUAUAUGUGUUUGUUUUUUACUGUAGUGAGAUCACUUAUUUUAAUUUAGAAAAUAGAAACAUGAAGUGUUGUUAUAAGAAUCUAAUAGCAGAUGUUCUUAGCAUGAACAUGCUUUGUAAUGUACCUACUGACUAAUAGCACAAUCAUGACUUGGCAUGCCCGGUUUUACUUUACGAAGAGUAGUAUGUGGUGCUCUAAUAUUCAACCGUGUUCUUGAAUUGGGAAUUAUGUUUAUAAUAGUUAAAGUGCUUGUGUGUUGGUCUGAUGUAUAUAAGCAAAAGAAAAUAAAAAACGGAUGGAAGAAGGGAACUUCUUGCUUUUCUUUUCCUUUUGUUUCUCUGUUUGAUAAUUACUCCCUAUGAUGGGUAGGUUUGAGAAUAGGAAACGUCCUACUCUUUGAUCCCUUUUUGUGUGAAUGGCUCGAUGGCAAGGGUGGCUAUCUGCUCCUCGCUCUAUUGGUUGUGUCUCUGUCUUCCCCGUGUGAUGCGCCACACGCCUAUUUUUGUUGCUGCUGCGUUUAUGGUGUGUGCGCGUGCGCGUGCGUGCGUGCGUGUCUGUGUUGUGAUUGCGUGCAUGGGUGUGUGUCUGUGUUGGGAUGUGCAUAUGAGCAUGAUUUGUUCUGCCACUUUAGGCGUUACCACAUCUAUAAUACCAUUUUCUAAUAUCUGAUAGUUGUAUUGGCUGCGCCUAGCUUUUGGGAUAUAAUUUCGAAGGGUAUUCUUCCCAUAUGAUCAGUUCUGCGGCCUGCACUCAUUUUUACUGCCAUGAAUGGUGUUUAAGUCUCCCUCUCUCUUUCUCACUCUCUGUGUGUGCCACUCUCUCUGAGAUUUGAAGUUAUUAUUUCCUGUUAUCAAUCAUGGGGAUGUUACGAUUUUUAUUUAUUUGUGUGGUGGCCAAUAAAAUCUGACAAAAAGUUGUUAUCCACCUCCUUCCAUGAUGGCAAACCUCCAACUAUUGUUUCUUUUCCGGUAGGAUAUGCAUUCGAUCCAUUCCAUGUCUUGGCCUCUUUUUGACAUGUGUAUUUCUAUGUUCUUCUUCCAGGUAUUGUUCAAUCCACCAGUAGCUAGCGGAUGUCGUGCUGUAAUUAAGGUUUGCCACCUUCCUCUGCUACAUCGCUUAGUUUUAUGGGCCAUUCUUAGAAUACUAUGUGCUUGCUCUUUUUGGCCAUGACAUGUGAAUCUGAUGCUUACCAACAUUAGUGUAGAAUUUGUUUCUUGGUGAUCUAAAACUUAUAGCUAUUAAAGGAAGCCCUUGGUUUGUAUUAGGUACUUGUGACAUUUGGUGGAACUGUAUGGCAAAUAGUGAGAGAAUAGAUAUUACCAAUGAUGUACACAGAGAGAAGGUACUCACAUGUCACAUCAUAUUCCCUCACGCUCCUCUUCUCGAUUGCAAAACUUAAUAUUAGUUCAAGCUUCUUUUUUUAUGUCGUCAACAAUGUCAAUUGGUGCAACAGGUGUCACAACAUGCAGGUUCUUUAAAAAAAUAAGAUGAUAAUUUAUUUAAACAUGAUAGUAUAUUACCUACUUUAAAUCCUCCAAUAUAAUGAUCGACAUUAAUAGCGUAAACAUCCACUCACAAGUAGUUUCAACAGAAGUGUUAUGAGCUGCAAAGUAAAUGAAUAGAGUAUUAAACCAGACAAACUGGAAAAGCAAAUUCUUCACACAAUAAAUUUUAUCAUACAAGCAAUUGAAACAACAGACAUAAGCGAUUCCAAGAUACAGACUUUCCCCAAUGCUUCUUAACAACAUCAAUUGCUUUUCCUUACUCGUCUGCCCUAUGAAACUGAGUAUGUCUAAAUUGGGUUCGAAGUUACACAGACAGAUGUAAGGAACUGAUAAAUUUACCAAGACAGGGUUCAGCGAGGUCAAGAUCAUACACCUUAUGUGUGAACAACAUAGGGUCCCAUGCAAUCUCAAGAUCAUGUGAAUUCAUCUGUCCAUGUCCGCCACAACUCCCGCAGUGCCAUGCAUCUUGCUGCACCAAGCACGAGCGGAUCCAGGCCACUUAAAAAGGACAUAGUGGCAUGGCGACGGUGGAUUUUUCUUAUCAGAAGUUCAAAACUAUGCAGAUAACUCAGCAACCACACACCUAUGUCCCCAACCUGCAUAUAUGCCUUUUUUUAUUAGGAAUUAUAUAUAGACAAACUAUAUGAGGCUUCUUUUUUAUUAGGAACUAUAUGGUCCCCAAUCGCAUGUUUGAGAAAGUUUCGCAUUAACAACCUAGCUAUAAUGUGUACAGAUGAUAUAAUACUAUGAAAAGACAAAAUGGUACCUGGUUGAGAAAAUUGUUUAUUUAGAUGCCUAAAACAAACAAACAAAAACAAGUGAUAGAAUCCUAACCGUAUAUUCACUUGCAAGAUGAGGCUUGUAGAGAUCGUAAACAUGAGUCAUGUGAGAAGCUCUAUAUAUUUGCUUUCAAAAGAAAUAGAUGCAUUUGGACCAAUAAGCAUAGCAACUACAACAGCUCCACCCAUAGGCCGAGCUGGUCCCUUUGCAUAAACCUGGACAUAAUAUGGAAUAUCAAAUGAGUGUUGCACGGAGAUAAAAGGAAGAGAAACUGAAUCCACUUAGUGCAACAGUUAGAUGGCCAUAUUGGGUGACUAACCGUGCUAUCCGUGCAGGCUACAAGGCCGUAACGUUCAUCCGAACAUCGACUUUCAACCGAAGUCACACCAAUUCAAGAGGGAAGUUGUUCCACCAUAACAUGCAUUACUGGAGUCAAACUCCCUCAAUGUCAGUAAUACCACUUUCCUGUAUUUGUGACAAGUGUCAACA